AAACCAAAAACGAGCAGAUAUGCAGCAUCACAGGACAGCGAGGAGGAGGAACAGACGUCUCAAAAGAUUUCCUCUGGAUGCCCCUGACCAGACAUGAACAACCUGGUUUUCCACAUCUCUACUGCUUUGCCAACAUAAAGGUGUCUGUCGUGGCCCUUCACGCUGACGGUCAGUCCGACACAAGACCAUACCGGCAGACCCGCAGAUCGGUUGACCCGCAGGACCAUUGAGCAUCUGGUGGAGCAGCUUCGGGUUCCUCACACUCUGGGGGGGGUGUACAGGAGACUGAGGUCCUGGUGUUUCUUUUCUGGCUGGCGUGUGGCGCAUCUUACGGCGUGGUAACCAGGGCCUUUGACAUGCCACGGUCCACUGUGAGCGGCAGACCGCAUCCUCCAGCUGAUGAGCAGGGUCACCCAGCAUCCAGUGGGAAUGAACUGCCAUUAGUCACCUCUGGUUUUUUAGCAGCUCGCUUGUUCUUGCACCUUCCAAAAGGCUGUGGGGAACACUG
Molecule: non-coding RNA, 508 nt
Organism: Oryzias latipes (Japanese medaka)
Lineage: Eukaryota; Metazoa; Chordata; Actinopteri; Beloniformes; Adrianichthyidae
Source: RefSeq, a predicted model, not a curated record